This 73-nucleotide transfer RNA is filed under the name Cordylochernes scorpioides. Its description in RNAcentral is "tRNA-Gly". The record is from RNAcentral. Lineage: Eukaryota; Metazoa; Arthropoda; Arachnida; Pseudoscorpiones; Chernetidae.
UGCAUCGGCCGGGAAUCGAACCCGGGCCGCCCGCGUGGCAGGCGAGCAUUCUACCACUGAAAACCACCGAUUC